UACGUAGGUGGCAAGCGUUGUCCGGAAUUAUUGGGCGUAAAGAGCGCGCAGGCGGUCUAUCAAGUCAGAUGUGAAAUAUCCAGGCUUAACCUGGAGGGGUCAUUUGAAACUGGUAGACUAGAGUACAGCAGAGGAUAGUGGAAUUCCCGGUGUAGUGGUGAAAUGCGUAGAUAUCGGGAGGAACACCAGUGGCGAAGGCGACUAUCUGGGCUGAAACUGACGCUGAGGCGCGAAGGCUAGGGGAGCAAACAGG
RNAcentral lists this ribosomal RNA (253 nucleotides) under uncultured bacterium. RNAcentral describes it as "partial 16S ribosomal RNA". It matches the Rfam family "Bacterial small subunit ribosomal RNA", at positions 524 to 776 of the family's 1533-position model. The record is from RNAcentral.